Non-coding RNA from Arachis ipaensis, 266 nucleotides. The record is from RefSeq and is a predicted model, not a curated record. NCBI's taxonomy places the organism in Eukaryota, Viridiplantae, Streptophyta, Magnoliopsida, Fabales, Fabaceae.
AUCACCGUUGCUGCCUAGGAUGGCUCCUGGGGCUGCUGCCGAACUGGUUCGGAGACCGCCGUUAUUUCGGUUCAGCCGUUCCUUCGGUUCGAGUCGUUGUGGUUGCUGAGAAAACGGUUUGGAGCUGAGGUUUUGGUAGCCGGGAUUCUGAUUGUUGAUUUCGGGUCGAGACGGAAAGGACUCUUUGAUGCGUUUGGGCUAUGGUUUUGCGUUUUGAGGAUAUGGGCGCAGAAGUCACGAAGGCUUUAUUUAGUUGUUGUUGAGAU